Molecule: long non-coding RNA, 1246 nt
Filed under: Homo sapiens (human)
Lineage: Eukaryota; Metazoa; Chordata; Mammalia; Primates; Hominidae
Description: HSALNT0362387
Source: RNAcentral
AAGAUGAAGCUGAAAAUUUACAAUUUCAAGAUAUUCUUAGAAGAUAUCUGGUCUACUUUUUUGAGCUGUUAACAUUUUUCUGAGAGUUAACUUUUCUUGGGAAGAAAUGAAGUGGAAAUAUGGUUGCUGCCUAAGAAGUAAUAAUAGGAGAUACAGGAAGCAGUUUGAAAUGGAAUAGAAACAACUUGUGAUAGAGGACAGAAGCCAUAUCAGAAGUCACGGAAUUAAUUAUGUGAGUCUGGGAUCAGUGAGAGAUGAAAAUUGAGAAGAAAGAAAACUGUAAGACUCUGUGACUUGAAAAAUCCAGGAGAGACAGGCAACUGAAUUGCUACAUUGUAUUUUCUCUUAAACCCAAGAAAAUUCCCUGUGUUAGAACAACUUGAAUGAAAAGAAGAAUAAACAGGUGUCCAACAAUAACAUUUCCAAGAUAGGAAGAAAGCGAGGGUUCAAAACGGAGUUAUAUAUAAUGUGUCUCACCAAUCACUGAAGGGGACAAGUCAUCCAUGUAAGAAAUUAACUCAACCCAGGGGAGAGGACAUAUUCCUGUAAUCUCAGCUACUCAGGAACCUGAAGCAGGAGGAUAAUUUCAGGGAAGGAAUUGAGACCAGCAUGGGCAACAUAGCAAGAUGUAAAAAAACAAAACAAAACACAAUUUUUUAAUGUUAACUAGGUGUGGUGGCAUGUUCCUGUAGUCCCAGCUACUCAGGAGCAUGAGGCAGGAAGCUUGCUUGAGCCCCAAAGUUCAAGGGUGCAGUGAGCUAUGGUUGCACUUCUGCAUUCCAGCCUAGGUGACAGAGAAAGAUCCCCUCUCAAAAAACUUAAUUUAUUGUCAAAUAUACUUUUGCAUAACUGUGUGCAAAUUAUGUAGCUGUAAAAAUAAGGCUAUGAUGUAAUUAUGCCCUGAAACUGUUUGUUUGUUGCUGUUUUUGGUUUUGUUUUAUUUUUGCUUGGUAUUGGUGAUGUAUGGAGUAAUGUGUUCACUGGUCUUUGAGGUAUAAUCAUACCUUUGCCAGAUGGAGAACAGUUGAGCAGUAUAUUCCAGGAAUAGGGAAUAUUAUGUCUAAAACAUUACAUAGUCAAGGAAUUACAGCAAAGUUUUGUUUAUAAAGAGGAGAGGAAAAAAAAAGAAUGAUACAAGGAAUAUAAAUGGGGCGGGCUCUGUAUGUACGCAUUUUUAGAAUAUAAAAUGUUUUUCUAUAGAAAAUAAAGAAACCAUGAUAUGAAUAUAAUAUGUGGGGAGCAUAAA